GAUGAACGCUGGCGGCGUGCUUAACACAUGCAAGUCGAACGGUGAAGCCAAGCUUGCUUGGUGGAUCAGUGGCGAACGGGUGAGUAACACGUGAGCAACCUGCCCUGGACUCUGGGAUAAGCGCUGGAAACGGCGUCUAAUACUGGAUAUGAGACGUGAUCGCAUGGUCGUGUUUGGAAAGAUUUUUCGGUCUGGGAUGGGCUCGCGGCCUAUCAGCUCGUUGGUGAGGUAAUGGCUCACCAAGGCGUCGACGGGUAGCCGGCCGGGGAGGGUGACCGGCCACACUGGGACUGAGACACGGCCCAGACUCCUACGGGAGGCAGCAGUGGGGAAUAUUGCACAAUGGGCGGAAGCCUGAUGCAGCAACGCCGCGUGGGGGAUGACGGCCUUCGGGUUGUAAACCUCUUUUAGCAGGGAAGAAGCGAAAGUGACGGUACCUGCAGAAAAAGCGCCGGCUAACUACGUGCCAGCCGCCGCCGUAA
RNAcentral lists this ribosomal RNA (482 nucleotides) under uncultured bacterium. RNAcentral describes it as "partial 16S ribosomal RNA". It matches the Rfam family "Bacterial small subunit ribosomal RNA", at positions 28 to 523 of the family's 1533-position model. The record is from RNAcentral.